UUCAGAAUAGAAGCACUCUGUGUCCAAGGGUGCUGCUCACAUGGGAAUGAUGGUGGGUGGAGCACAGAAGAGAGAUGGAGUGAGAGGCAGGAAUGCUUCCCAGCUGUGGGUGACAGAGACAGAUGGGUACCAAAGUGGGAGCCCCCAGCACUGGAGCACCACCAAGAAGCUGCGGUGAUGGGCAGAUGCCCAGGGCAGGGUCUGAAGUGCCCAGAACAUGCAGCGAGGGACAGUGCUGUGAUAAAGGAUGGAAGGAGAUUGGUAGCCAUGGCAGAAGCCACAUGCUGUGUUUUUAAAAUAAAAUGCUCAGGAAGGACUGUGUGUGGGAG
This 329-nucleotide long non-coding RNA is filed under the name Homo sapiens (human). Its description in RNAcentral is "HSALNT0083042". Lineage: Eukaryota; Metazoa; Chordata; Mammalia; Primates; Hominidae. The record is from RNAcentral.